GCAAGUCGAACGAGAUCUUCGGAUCUAGUGGCGCACGGGUGAGUAACGCGUGGGAACCUACCUUUUAGUACGGGACAACGUUUGGAAACGAACGCUAAUACCGUAUACGCCCUCCGGGGGAAAGGUCAGCCGCUGAAAGAGGGGCCCGCGUCUGAUUAGCUUGUUGGUAGGGUAACGGCUUACCAAGGCUACGAUCAGUAGCUGGUCUGAGAGGAUGAUCAGCCACACUGGGACUGAGACACGGCCCAGACUCCUACGGGAGGCAGCAGUGGGGAAUAUUGGACAAUGGAGGCAACUCUGAUCCAGCAAUGCCGCGUGUGUGAUGAAGGCCCUAGGGUUGUAAAGCACUUUCAACGGUGAAGAUGAUGACGGUAGCCGUAGAAGAAGCCCCGGCUAACUUCGUGCCAGCAGCCGCGGUAAUACGGAGGGUGCAAGCGUUGAUCGGAAUUACUGGGCGUAAAGCGCGCGUAGGCGGUUUUUUAAGUCGGAUGUGAAAGCCCCGGGCUCAACCUGGGAAUUGCAUCCGAUACUGGAUAACUAGAAUGCGGGAGAGGGAGGUAGAAUUCCAUGUGUAGCAGUGAAAUGCGUAGAUAUAUGGAGGAAUACCAGUGGCGAAGGCGGCCUCCUGGCUCGACAUUGACGCUGAGGUGCGAAAGCGUGGGGAGCAAACGGGAUUAGAUACCCCGGUAGUCCACGCCGUAAACGAUGUCUACUAGCUGUAGGGGUACUUGAGACCUUUGUAGCGCAGCUAACGCAAUAAGUAGACCGCCUGGGGAGUACGGCCGCAAGGU
This 791-nucleotide ribosomal RNA is filed under the name uncultured bacterium. Its description in RNAcentral is "bacterial SSU rRNA". It matches the Rfam family "Bacterial small subunit ribosomal RNA", at positions 57 to 894 of the family's 1533-position model. The record is from RNAcentral.